RNAcentral lists this ribosomal RNA (217 nucleotides) under Chloromonas typhlos. RNAcentral's name for it is "partial 18S ribosomal RNA". It matches the Rfam family "Eukaryotic small subunit ribosomal RNA", at positions 1615 to 1831 of the family's 1831-position model. Lineage: Eukaryota; Viridiplantae; Chlorophyta; Chlorophyceae; Chlamydomonadales; Chlamydomonadaceae. The record is from RNAcentral.
UAGUAAGCGCGAGUCAUCAGCUCGCGUUGAUUACGUCCCUGCCCUUUGUACACACCGCCGUCGCUCCUACCGAUUGGGUGUGCUGGUGAAAUGUUCGGAUCGGGCUUCAUCUGGUGGCAACACUGGGUGUCGCUGAAAAGAUCAUUAAACCCUCCCAUCUAGAGGAAGGAGAAGUCGUAACAAGGUUUCCGUAGGUGAACCUGCGGAAGGAUCAUUG